Molecule: ribosomal RNA, 480 nt
Filed under: uncultured bacterium
Lineage: Bacteria
Description: bacterial SSU rRNA
Rfam family: Bacterial small subunit ribosomal RNA
Source: RNAcentral
CGCUAUCACUCCUACGGGGAGGCAGCAGUAGGGAAUCUUCCACAAUGGACGAAAGUCUGAUGGAGCAACGCCGCGUGAGUGAAGAAAGGGUUUCGGCUCGUAAAACUCUGUUGUUUAAAGAAGAACAUAUCUGAGAGUAACUGUUCAGGGUAUUGACGGUAUUUAACCAGAAAGCCCACGGCUAACUACGUGCCAGCAGCCGCGGUAAUACGUAGGUGGCAAGCGUUGUCCGGAGUUUAUUGGGCGUAAAGCGAGCGCAGGCGGUUUUUAAGUUCUGAUGUGAAAGCCUUCGGCUCAACCGAAGAAGUGCAUCGGAAACUAGGGAAACUUGAGUGCAGAAGAGGACAGUGGAACUCCAUGUGUAGCGGUGAAAUGCGUAGAUAUAUGGAAGAACACCAGUGGCGAAGGCGGCUGUCUGGUCUGUAACUGACGCUGAGGCUCGAAAGUAUGGGUAGCAAACAGGAUUAGAUACCCUGGUAG